GGCCGCCGGGGGGCUCACGCCCCCGGGCCCGCGCCCGCCGAAGACACCCCCGAACUCUGCCUGAAGAUUGUCGUCUGAGUGAAAAUAUAAAUUAUUUAAAACUUUCAACAACGGAUCUCUUGGUUCCGGCAUCGAUGAAGAACGCAGCGAAAUGCGAUACGUAAUGUGAAUUGCAAAUUCAGUGAAUCAUCGAGUCUUUGAACGCACAUUGCGCCCCCUGGUAUUCCGGGGGGCAUGCCUGUCCGAGCGUCAUUGCUGCCCUCAAGCCCGGCUUGUGUGUUGGGCCCCGUCCUCCGAUUCCGGGGGACGGGCCCGAAAGGCAGCGGCGGCACCGCGUCCGGUCCUCGAGCGUAUGGGGCUUUGUCACCCGCUCUGUAGGCCCGGCCGGCGCUUGCCGAUCAACCCAAAUUUUUAUCCAGGUUGACCUCGGAUCAGGUAGGGAUACCCGCUGAACUUAAGCAUAUCAUAAC
This 470-nucleotide ribosomal RNA is filed under the name Penicillium expansum. RNAcentral describes it as "eukaryotic LSU rRNA". The stretch from base 100 to 252 matches the Rfam family "5.8S ribosomal RNA". The record is from RNAcentral. Lineage: Eukaryota; Fungi; Ascomycota; Eurotiomycetes; Eurotiales; Aspergillaceae.